UACGUAGGGUCCGAGCGUUGUCCGGAAUUAUUGGGCGUAAAGAGCUCGUAGGCGGUUUGUCGCGUCUGCUGUGAAAUCCCGAGGCUCAACCUCGGGUCUGCAGUGGGUACGGGCAGACUGGAGUGCGGUAGGGGAGAAUGGAAUUCCUGGUGUAGCGGUGGAAUGCGCAGAUAUCAGGAGGAACACCGAUGGCGAAGGCAGUUCUCUGGGCCGUAACUGACGCUGAGGCGCGAAAGCCAGGGGAGCAAACGGG
This 253-nucleotide ribosomal RNA is filed under the name uncultured bacterium. Its description in RNAcentral is "partial 16S ribosomal RNA". It matches the Rfam family "Bacterial small subunit ribosomal RNA", at positions 524 to 776 of the family's 1533-position model. The record is from RNAcentral.